UUUGAUUAUGUAAGUUGGCUAUCAUACAGACUGGAUAGUUAUGUCUAAACUGAUUCUGUGUCUGAAUUAUAGGGUGACUGUUGAUGAAAACGCGGUGUGCUCCAGUGAGCUGCCCAGCUCUACCCCUCUCUCACACUUGUCUGUCAUGGCACACUCAGAGAAUCUCAAAGUGGAGAACUGGGUGUCCUUUCUGGGGACAUUUCACAAUCUCAGUCAGCCCACAGACAGCGGUGACGGGGUGGAUGGUCAUAUGGAUGCUCUCGGCUCCUCCCUGUGUCUUCUGGUUGACCUCCAGCAGGUGAAGCUGCACAUAAACUGCCUCAAUGAGACGUGGGCUCGGUGGACCCUGGAUCUCAAAGAGGCCUGCCCCAGUCUGGAGAAAAUCAUGCUGUCUGCUGGUCGCAAUGUUGUGGAUUAUAAUAGGAGUGGCUGGAUUGAGUGUGGCCCAUUAGAGACAAGGGGAAUUGGCAUCCUGAAGAACGCACACAAAAACUGCAUUAUCAAACUGAGAGGGAUCAAAACCCCAGCACCCCAGGGAGUUUACCAGGGCCGACCUGUGAAUAUUACAAUCAGUGGGGUAGAUUGCAAAGAGGACUAUUUCUAGUUUGAACAUGGAAGAGUGUUUCGAGGACCAGAAAGGUGCUAAUUAAUUGAACACAGAGUGCGUUUAGAGCAACACCAUGCAACCAUUUGCCACUUUGUGAUGGUAUAUGGUCACAUGACGACAGUUCAACACAUUCCACCAGCAACCCAGGAUUUGCACUAUGUAGUACUGUAAUACCCCGUGGAAAUUAAGGAAAAGCUUUCACGGCAAGACAUUUUCUACUGUGUUGCCAGGAGACGCCAGUUAGCGUUUUUGCAAGCUGUUAUCAGUGGCAGUCCAUAAUUUUUUUUAAAGAAAAUGUUCACCACACAUUAAUGACAAACAAAAGAUACUUAAAUUAGCUUUAUUCAAUGUACAGCACUUUUUCUUUAUUCCGGAUUAAUCCAUCUAAUAGUUUAUUGAUGACAGGGACUGGAACUCAGGUAAUGGGGACUCGAGACUUGACUCGAAAACUGGUGACUCGAGAUUUGACUGGGACUCAAGUAGGGCUGGGCCGUAUGACGGUAUAUACCGUGCAACGGUAGAAAUGUGUCUACCGGGAGAGAUUUGCCUAUACCGUUUCAACCACGGUAUACUCUUAUUUUGAAAUCCACUCGAUUUAUUUUUUAGAUAAUGACCUCCAAACUAUACAUCAUCCGGCUUAUUAUACAGUUACUCGCCAAAACAAUAGAAGACAUUCCUCCAAAAUACCUCUUUAACGAUUUUGUGGCCGUUUCCUGAUUUCCGCUUUGAAAAAAUACUUCUUCAGGCAAAUAGAACUUUGAGGUUUCAGGUUUUGCGUAGCAACCCAUUACUUGCUGACUUCAAUGACUUUCCGUUAAGUUAAAUGACCAGACUACUUGCGGAAUGAUAUGAAAGACGGAAUUAGAAGCACAAUGUUGGCAAUGUUUACAGCAGUGAAUAUAAAGAAAUUACAGACCUGCAAACAUUGGGGGGGCCAUUCAAAUCAACUGAACUUUUUUGAACAUUUUGAAGGGCCGUAUAAUACGAUACCCAGUACAAUUUUUAAGCACAUGACCUGCAAGGAUUGUCAUGCCUACUUGUUGAGUAAUCCUCGACAGUUGUGAAAGAUUCCAUCUACUGAAAAAUAUGGACUGAAAAGUGUCUAGUGUAGCCAUUUAUACGCAGAUUCUGUUGCAUUUUUCUCAAUGAUGGUCAAAUAUUAGUAGUUAAAGAUGCACUAUUUCGAUAGUUUAGAUUUAUUUUCAGUAUUUCAAAGUGAAGGAGCUGUGGGAGCACAAGAACAGUGAGCGUCUAGCAGCGAUUAUCAUAGACAUAUAUGUCUAUGGCAAUUAUAGCCUUACUAUCGAGAUUCUAAGUAACAUGGAGACAAAACUUUUGUUGGUACUACACGUAGAUCGUAAACCCUUGAAUAUAAAAACGACUCAGUGAAAUCGGUUGAGAAACGUAAACGCUAAAGUGCUUUUUAUCCAGAAAAACCGCUGCUCCAUCGUUUACUUGCGUUUGUUUACAGGCUAGUCUUCACCUCACCUAUAUGGCGGUGACGUUGGCACGUUACAGCAACGGGCUGAAGCGGUCAAUGGGGCGUAUGUGUAAUGGCCAACUUCUUAAUUUUCUUAUUUAAAAUGUGGCCAUAUAAAACAAUGUUUUUCUAAUCAUUAUUGCGUAUGAAUAAACAUUGAAAAGAAAGUUUUAACACUUGAUUUAUCGUCUGAAAGUACAUUAAAGAACCACUGAAAGCCACAUAAGCACUGGACUAAAUGCCAC
This is a long non-coding RNA of Clupea harengus (Atlantic herring), 2332 nucleotides long. The record is from Ensembl. NCBI's taxonomy places the organism in Eukaryota, Metazoa, Chordata, Actinopteri, Clupeiformes, Clupeidae.